This 276-nucleotide long non-coding RNA is filed under the name Homo sapiens (human). RNAcentral's name for it is "non-protein coding lnc-APOL1-1:7". The record is from RNAcentral. Lineage: Eukaryota; Metazoa; Chordata; Mammalia; Primates; Hominidae.
GAUUCCUGACCCUGCCUCUUUAGGAUCCGCACGUUGCUGCCUUUCAGCCUCCAAACCUUCGCUCUGGCCGUUCUCUCCACCUGGAAUACCCUUCCGAGCCUCUCUUCACCUCCAUGUCAUUAACUCGCAUACAUCCUUUCAGAUAUUUCCUGAGGGCUUGUGAUUUGCCAGAUCCUGUACCAGGUGCUGGAACUUGGUGAUAGACAAUCCACAGUCUCUGCUCUGAAGACAUCCAUGCAGAGACAGGGUCUUGCCAUGUUGCUCCUCGCCUCAAGC